GACAGAGGUGCCAAGCGUUAGGCGGAAUCACUGGGCGUAAAGGGUGCGUAGGCGGGUCUUUAAGUCAGGGGUGAAAUCCUGGAGCUCAACUCCAGAACUGCCUUUGAUACUGAGGAUCUUGAGUUCGGGAGAGGUGAGUGGAACUGCGAGUGUAGAGGUGAAAUUCGUAGAUAUUCGCAAGAACACCAGUGGCGAAGGCGGCUCACUGGCCCGAUACUGACGCUGAGGCACGAAAGCGUGGGGAGCAAACAGG
This 253-nucleotide ribosomal RNA is filed under the name uncultured bacterium. Its description in RNAcentral is "partial 16S ribosomal RNA". It matches the Rfam family "Bacterial small subunit ribosomal RNA", at positions 524 to 776 of the family's 1533-position model. The record is from RNAcentral.